This 498-nucleotide unclassified non-coding RNA is filed under the name Hevea brasiliensis (rubber tree). The record is from RNAcentral. Lineage: Eukaryota; Viridiplantae; Streptophyta; Magnoliopsida; Malpighiales; Euphorbiaceae.
GGCAUGAGUCCUUGCAGGGCAAAGGGCAAGUACACACUACUUGGCAUGUAGUACACACGGAAAUGAGGUUCACAGGCUGGCAGCCACAUAGGAGAGCCAGCGAGGCACUGGGGUGCACUGCAGAGCUGCGAGGCACGCAGGCAUACAAGAUAAGCAGUGGACAUGCAGGCAUGUAAAGAAACAAGGUUUAACAGUGUGCAAAGUGUGCACAGGCGAGUGAAGCACAUGGGCAGCAUGCGAAGUGCGAGCGUGCAGGAGGCAUGUGGGCAAGUGAAACACUCUAGCUAGCAAAUAAGGUUCAAGCACUGGGAGUGCCUGGGACAUGCAGUAUUGGCAUGGAAUGCACCAGAAGAGCCUGGGGCACACAGGAGCAAAUGAGGUUCACUCCUAGAAUUUUCCAGAAGCACUUAGGACAGUGUAGCACUGCCAUAGUUGUUCAGUUAGUUAGACAUAUUUUCAAGGAACCUUCUAGAGUUGGCUAGAGACUAUAGAAGCGGC